RNAcentral lists this ribosomal RNA (506 nucleotides) under uncultured Bacteroidota bacterium. Its description in RNAcentral is "bacterial SSU rRNA". It matches the Rfam family "Bacterial small subunit ribosomal RNA", at positions 75 to 579 of the family's 1533-position model. Lineage: Bacteria; Pseudomonadati; Bacteroidota. The record is from RNAcentral.
GGAGCUUGCUCCAUUUGAGACCGGCGCACGGGUGCGUAACGCGUAUGCAAUCUACCUUAAUCAGGGGGAUAGCCUCUCGAAAGAGAGAUUAAUACCGCAUAACAUUAUGAUAUGGCAUCAUAUUAUAAUCAAACAUUUAUGGGAUUAAGAUGAGCAUGCGUGACAUUAGCUAGUUGGUGAGGUAACGGCUCACCAAGGCGACGAUGUCUAGGGGAUCUGAGAGGAUGACCCCCCACACUGGUACUGAGACACGGACCAGACUCCUACGGGAGGCAGCAGUAAGGAAUAUUGGUCAAUGGGCGCAAGCCUGAACCAGCCAUGCCGCGUGCAGGAAGACGGCCCUAUGGGUUGUAAACUGCUUUUAUACGGGAAUAAACCUCGGUACGUGUACCGAGCUGAAUGUACCGUAAGAAUAAGGAUCGGCUAACUCCGUGCCAGCAGCCGCGGUAAUACGGAGGAUCCAAGCGUUAUCCGGAUUUAUUGGGUUUAAAGGGUGCGUAGGCGGC